AAAGAAGUCGACCGACAUCUUAACUGGCAACAGGGUAAAACGAUAAAAUGUUGAAAUCAAAAACAUCACUCGAAUGAAAUCUCGUGAAUAGCCACAGCCAGAGAUCUUCGUAAAUCGUAGUGACUAAUUAAACGGAAAACUUAAAAAUCUGGAGGGACUAAUUGAACGGACCUUUACAUUCAAAUGUAAUUUACACUUCUUCAUGUGAAUACUUUCAGUGCCGCAUCAAAAACAUACACAAUCGCGCUGGUGAUGGACGACCUGGAGCGGUAUCUGUUACAUCGAACCGUAAUGCUAUUCAUUAUGCAAAACUACCUGCAGCGGGGGCUGUCGCUGGUGCUGCUGCUGCUGCUGCUGAGUUGCCUUUCGUUGCUGUCGAGCUGCGCUAAUUAAUUUAAAUGAACGAAUAGCAUGGAACCCAUUAUGUCGAGCGAUAUAUCAAACCGAGAGAAAGACUGAAGCACUCCACUCUAAAACCGUGGCUCGUCGCUUCAUCCGCGCUGCGUUCCUGCGUUGCGUUGUGAUACCCAUCCCGGCAUCUUCCAUCCACCGACCGUGCGCCGCAUCAUACCGAACCAGAGUAGAUACACAAAUAAAUAUGAAAA
Long non-coding RNA from Armigeres subalbatus, 605 nucleotides. RefSeq lists it as uncharacterized. The transcript has 3 exons. NCBI's taxonomy places the organism in Eukaryota, Metazoa, Arthropoda, Insecta, Diptera, Culicidae. The record is from RefSeq and is a predicted model, not a curated record.